RNAcentral lists this ribosomal RNA (660 nucleotides) under uncultured bacterium. Its description in RNAcentral is "bacterial SSU rRNA". It matches the Rfam family "Bacterial small subunit ribosomal RNA", at positions 829 to 1498 of the family's 1533-position model. The record is from RNAcentral.
GCGAUACACAGUAGGCGGCUUAGCGAAAGCAUUAAGUGAACCACCUGGGGAGUACGAUCGCAAGGUUGAAACUCAAAGGAAUUGACGGGGGCCCGCACAAGCGGAGGAACAUGUGGUUUAAUUCGAUGAUACGCGAGGAACCUUACCUGGGCUUAAAUGUAGAUUGCAUAACUUAGAAAUAGGUUUUCCCUUCGGGGCUAUUUACAAGGUGCUGCAUGGUUGUCGUCAGCUCGUGCCGUGAGGUGUCGGGUUAAGUCCCAUAACGAGCGCAACCCCUAUCGUUAGUUGCCAGCGGAUAAUGCCGGGGACUCUAGCGAGACUGCCACCAUAAGGUGAGAGGAAGGUGGGGAUGACGUCAAAUCAGCACGGCCCUUAUGUCCAGGGCUACACACGUGUUACAAUGGCCGAUACAAAGGGCAGCUACCAGGCAACUGGAUGCUAAUCUCUAAAGUCGGUCCCAGUUCGGAUUGGAGUCUGCAACCCGACUCCAUGAAGUUGGAUUCGCUAGUAAUCGGAUAUCAGCAAUGAUCCGGUGAAUACGUUCCCGGGCCUUGUACACACCGCCCGUCAAACCAUGGAAGCUGGGGGUACCUGAAGUCUGUGACCGCAAGGAGCGGCCUAGGGUAAAACUAGUAACUAGGGUUAAGUCGUAACAAGGUA